CCUACGGGAGGCAGCAGUAGGGAAUUUUCCACAAUGGGCGCAAGCCUGAUAGCGCAACGCCGCGUGCAGGAUGAAUGCCUUAGGGUUGUAAACUGCUUUUAUAUGUGACGAUUAUACGGUAGCAUAUGAAUAAGCAUCGGCUAACUACGUGCCAGCAGCCGCG
RNAcentral lists this ribosomal RNA (163 nucleotides) under uncultured bacterium. RNAcentral describes it as "partial 16S ribosomal RNA". It matches the Rfam family "Bacterial small subunit ribosomal RNA", at positions 338 to 519 of the family's 1533-position model. The record is from RNAcentral.